CAACGGUAAAAAGCUUACAGAACCAGUUUGGGGUUGGAGCUGUUGGCUGUCCUUUCGGUUCGCUCUCAAGUUCUCGACUGAAUUUUUUUUACUGGUGUUGUUAGAUAAGUUGACAAUCUCCUGAUAUUUGCAAUGACACGAUAUAAGAGCAAUGUGAUAUGUGCAGUGCCGCAGUGCAGCGCCAGAACUCGACGUUGGAAGGUCAGCUUGCACAUGGUGCCGAAGGAACCAAAGCUCAGGAAGCGAUGGGAAAUAGCUAUCAGAACUGGGAAGAAGUUGACACCGAGCAUGAAGGUAUGCUCUCAACAUUUCAAGGAAGAGGACUUCAAGCCCACAGUGAGUUCCCGCAUGAAAAGGUACCUCAAAGAAGAUGCAGUUCCAUCUCUCAAUCUUCCUGUGAGAUCAUGUGACGGGCCGACAACAUCGGAAAGUGCAGCAAGGAGGGCAGAGAGGAUACAGAAGAGAGAACAAGGUUUUGAACAGCUUCCUCAUGCUGAAGAUGAUGAGGAACAAAGUGUCAAUAUCAUGGAUGAGUUACAUGAUGUGUUAAAACAGGACAUCGGAGUGCAAGUGUCAUUGACUGAGAUGGUGUCUGCCGUCUGGUCGCUUGAACCUUUUUUCACUUCUUGAUUCAGAUCAAAAGUUGAGUGUUAUGACUGGCAUUCCAUCGUUUGAUAUCCUUUCUUCAUUAGAGAAACUGGUGCAGGUAGAGCUACCAUCUGUGCGAGAUGUGGAAAGGGGAAUCAUUGUGACAAUGAUGAGACUUAAAACAGGUCUUACAUUCACUGCUCUGGGUGUGCUCCUUGGCACUGAUAGGAGCACAUGCAGUAGACUCUUUGCCACAGUACUCCCUGUGCUAGCUGGUAUCAUGAAAGAUGUGUUGUCAUGGCCCACAAAAGACCAGGUUGCCAGGAACAUGCCAAAGUGCUUCCAUCAAUUUCGCAAAGUGCGGGUGGUCCUUGACUGUACUGAGGUAUCUGUGGAGAGGCCCAACUGCCUUGAUUGUCGCAUAUCAUCCUACUCUCACUAUCAUGGUGGUGAGAGUGUCAAAGUCAUGAUUGGUUGCUCCCCUGCUGGUACAAUCACUUUUGUGAGUGAUGCAUAUGGAGGGAAGGCAUCUGACAAAAAAAAUAUUCAAUGGCAGUGACCUUCUGGGGAAAUUAGAACCUUAUGUAGAUGCUGUCAUGGUUGACAAGGGCUUUAUGAUUGAUGAUGAAUGUUUAUUCAAUGCCAUUGAACUUGUCCGUCCUCCUUUUUUGAAGAGUAGCAAACAGCUGUCAGCCGCUGACGCGAAGCUAACCAAAAAGAUAGCCUGUGCCAGAGUCCACGUAGAGAGAGUCAUUCAAAGGGUGAAGCAGUAUAGUGUCUUAAAAAACAAGCUGCCCUGGAGCAUGAUGCCAUAUGUUAACCAUAUCUUCACAGUCAUUUGUGGACUCACCAACUUGUCACCGCCAAUCUUGGCAGAUGACAAGUUCUAGUGUCGCCUUGAUGCUGGUCAUGAUCACAUGAUGUGUCAGUGAGUACCUUGUUGUUUAUGGCACUCAGUGGUGUUUCAUUCACAUGAGAAAUACUACUGCUGGCAACUCUGACAUGCUGUGCUAUGAAUACAUUUGCAAUCAUGAG
Long non-coding RNA from Amphibalanus amphitrite, 1623 nucleotides. RefSeq lists it as uncharacterized. The transcript has 2 exons. The record is from RefSeq and is a predicted model, not a curated record. NCBI's taxonomy places the organism in Eukaryota, Metazoa, Arthropoda, Thecostraca, Balanomorpha, Balanidae.